RNAcentral lists this ribosomal RNA (477 nucleotides) under uncultured Candidatus Scalindua sp. RNAcentral describes it as "bacterial SSU rRNA". It matches the Rfam family "Bacterial small subunit ribosomal RNA", at positions 365 to 832 of the family's 1533-position model. Lineage: Bacteria; Pseudomonadati; Planctomycetota; Candidatus Brocadiia; Candidatus Brocadiales; Candidatus Scalinduaceae. The record is from RNAcentral.
UUCGCAAUGCCCGAAAGGGUGACGAAGCGACGCCGCGUGGGUGAGGAAGGCCUUCGGGUUGUAAAACCCUGUCAGGAGUUAUGAAAUGUAAGUGCGAUAAUACCGUGCUUAUUUGACAAAGGCUCCAAAGGAAGCCACGGCUAACUCUGUGCCAGCAGCCGCGGUAAUACAGAGGUGGCAAGCGUUGUUCGGAAUUACUGGGCGUAAAGAGCACGUAGGUGGAUUUGUAAGUCAGAUGUGAAAGCCUUCUGUUCAACGGAAGAAUUGCAUCUGAAACUACAAACCUUGAGUAUAGGAGGGGAGAAUGGAACUUCUGGUGGAGCGGUGAAAUGCGUAGAUAUCAGAAGGAACGCCGGCGGCGAAAGCGAUUCUCUGGCCUAUUACUGACACUGAGUGUGCGAAAGCUAGGGGAGCAAACGGGAUUAGAUACCCCGGUAGUCCUAGCCGUAAACGAUGGGCACUAAGUAGAGGGGUUUU